This is a long non-coding RNA of Hemicordylus capensis (graceful crag lizard), 631 nucleotides long. RefSeq lists it as uncharacterized. The transcript is spliced from 4 exons. The record is from RefSeq and is a predicted model, not a curated record. Lineage: Eukaryota; Metazoa; Chordata; Lepidosauria; Squamata; Cordylidae.
AAAGUAUCGGAGUAAGCAUGGCUAGGAUUGGGCUGACAAAUUCAAAGGAAUUAUGUCAGGUACAUUCAAUGGAAUGCUGCUGAAAUGGAUUCUGAGCCCUUAACAUAAAAAGGCAGAAAUGCAUCAAAUUGACCAACGAUGCAUACCAGGAAAGCAAAAAUUAAAGUGAAUUCGUUUAUCUUUGGGGAUUAUACUGCACUAGAAUUGCCUGAAAAUGUCCUAGAAGACCAAAGUGAUGGAGCCCCUAAGUUUUGAGUUUUUGCAGGGAAAAUGCUCCUGGAAUAGGCAAUUAUGCCUGAAAAACCAUGUAUGUUAAAGGCCUUGGAAAAUGUCUUCAGCUAGAAUUGGAAAGACCUGAGGAUAAGCACAAUGGAGGAAACACUCACCUUUCUGAAUUAGAGGGACCCCAAAGGACUUCUUUGCCCAGUACCCCUAAAGCCCUUGUGCUACCACUGCAUCUAGAAAGCUCUGGACCAUCUUCACAACUCAACUGAGAUCUGUCAUGACAUCCCUGCAUAGAAUUGAAGUAACAACACAAAGACUGUUCACAUCUGUAACAGGAAGAGACAGAUAUUCAUUCACUAAUAAAAUGUAUGACCUUUCAGCUGAAAGACCGGAAUUUACAUCUAAA